RNA transcript from Pieris rapae (cabbage white), 566 nucleotides. RefSeq lists it as uncharacterized. Lineage: Eukaryota; Metazoa; Arthropoda; Insecta; Lepidoptera; Pieridae. The record is from RefSeq and is a predicted model, not a curated record. The transcript is spliced from 3 exons.
UUAUAUUCCAGGAAACAUUAAACAUUGUUCAUUGCAGUUCAUAUGUUGAGAUGCCGGUUGCGAUGGUUAUAAUUCAUGAACAAUUCAAUGCAUGGCCUUUAAAGAAUGAUAUUGCUUUACUUCGUCUAGACGGUGUGAUUGAUUUCCAAAAGAGUGGAAUGGAACCUAUUUGCUUACCUGUGUCCUCUGAACUACAAAACAAAGAGCUUGCACACAGAGCUGGUGUAGUCACCGGUUGGGGAUACACCGAACAUAAUGAACCGUUCUUCAAAAAGUUAAGGUUCCUGUGAAACCGAAGUGUUUCGCUAAGAACGUCCUUUGCGCCGGGAAAAAGAACAAAGACUCCUGCGUCGGGGAUUCUGGCGGUCCUCUGAUGAUGACAGACUUCUUUAAUAAUGUCAAUCGUUACAUACAACAUGGUAUCGUAAGAAAUGUGACCUAAGAAAUGUGGAUCGUCAUCUGCAGGGAUUUACGUCGAUGUUAGAAAAUAUGUCGAUUGGAUUUUAGACCAUAUACGAGAGUAAUUUCUUCAUACAUUAGUUUUCAUAUAGAGAAUAAUAAUAUAA